AGGGCUGUAGUGACUCCAGGGAACGUGUGAACAGUGGUUAUCAGCGGAUCACAGAAUGCAGGAAAAUAUCCAUUUCUAUCUUUAAACUGAUCUGAAAAUUUAGGACCAGAGUGGAAGUCAACACUGGCCCUGCGUGUAGUUUCAGAAAAGGCGCCUCCUGGACCUGCCGCACUUUGAUACCCUCCUUUGCACACCCCAUUUCAUUUGUCCUGCUAUCAACUUGACAUCAGCAUUUCCACACCCAAAUAUCCCUUAUAUGCUCUUCUGACAGUGAGGAUGUUUGCUCCCUACUGAAACAGAGUUUAGAACUCACACCUUGUUAACAGGUUGUCAAAAUUCGUUUUGCUAGUCUAUUGUUUUUCUUCUAAUACAAAAAGAUUUGCUGA
Molecule: long non-coding RNA, 386 nt
Organism: Homo sapiens (human)
Lineage: Eukaryota; Metazoa; Chordata; Mammalia; Primates; Hominidae
Source: Ensembl